GACGAACGCUGGCGGCGUGCCUAAUACAUGCAAGUAGAACGCUGAAGGAGGAGCUUGCUUCUCUGGAUGAGUUGCGAACGGGUGAGUAACGCGUAGGUAACCUGCCUGGUAGCGGGGGAUAACUAUUGGAAACGAUAGCUAAUACCGCAUAAGAGUAGAUGUUGCAUGACAUUUGCUUAAAAGGUGCAAUUGCAUCACUACCAGAUGGACCUGCGUUGUAUUAGCUAGUUGGUGAGGUAACGGCUCACCAAGGCAACGAUACAUAGCCGACCUGAGAGGGUGAUCGGCCACACUGGGACUGAGACACGGCCCAGACUCCUACGGGAGGCAGCAGUAGGGAAUCUUCGGCAAUGGACGGAAGUCUGACCGAGCAACGCCGCGUGAGUGAAGAAGGUUUUCGGAUCGUAAAGCUCUGUUGUAAGAGAAGAACGGGUGUGAGAGUGGAAAGUUCACACUGUGACGGUAUCUUACCAGAAAGGGACGGCUAACUACGUG
RNAcentral lists this ribosomal RNA (495 nucleotides) under uncultured bacterium. Its description in RNAcentral is "partial 16S ribosomal RNA". It matches the Rfam family "Bacterial small subunit ribosomal RNA", at positions 28 to 507 of the family's 1533-position model. The record is from RNAcentral.